This 104-nucleotide ribosomal RNA is filed under the name Periophthalmus magnuspinnatus. The record is from RNAcentral. Lineage: Eukaryota; Metazoa; Chordata; Actinopteri; Gobiiformes; Gobiidae.
AUCUAUAGCUAUACCUGCUUGUCAAUGUCUGAAGCUAAGCAGGACUGGGCCCGGUUAGUACUUGGAUGGGAGACCGCCGGGAAUAGCAGGUACCGCAGUGGGGC